GCUGACUUCAAGAAUGAAGCCACGGACCUUCACGAGAAAUAUUACGUUGUAUGGAUGUACCACUGUUUGUUUAUCCAUUCUUCAGGUGAAGGACAUGUGGGUUGUGCCCAGCGCGGGCUGAAUAAAGCCAUCAUAAUGUGAAGAAGCCGAAGCAGCCUGUGAAGAGGCGCUAGUGGAAAGGAACUCAGGUGCCCCUGCCCUCAGUCCCAGCUGAACUCUCAGCUGACAGCCAUCACCAACUUGCCAGCCACAGGAGUGAGCCAACUUGAGAGUGGAUCUUUCAGUCCCAGUGGAGCCAUCUCAGCUGACACACCAUGGUAAAAAGAUGAACCAUCCUUGCUGAUCCUUGCCAGUGCUGCAGAUACAUAAGCAAAAUAAAUGUUUUUGUUG
This 390-nucleotide long non-coding RNA is filed under the name Homo sapiens (human). RNAcentral's name for it is "HSALNT0303083". Lineage: Eukaryota; Metazoa; Chordata; Mammalia; Primates; Hominidae. The record is from RNAcentral.